RNAcentral lists this non-coding RNA (45 nucleotides) under Schistosoma mansoni. Lineage: Eukaryota; Metazoa; Platyhelminthes; Trematoda; Strigeidida; Schistosomatidae. The record is from RNAcentral.
AUCCAGCUGUCGAGUCCCAAAUAGGACGAAAUUUACGUCCUGGAU